RNAcentral lists this ribosomal RNA (600 nucleotides) under uncultured bacterium. RNAcentral describes it as "bacterial SSU rRNA". It matches the Rfam family "Bacterial small subunit ribosomal RNA", at positions 743 to 1342 of the family's 1533-position model. The record is from RNAcentral.
ACGUUGAGGCUCGGAAAGCGUGGGGAGCAAAACAAGAAUAGAUACCCUGGUAGUCCACGCUGUAAACGAUGAAUACUAGGUUGGGAGGACUGACCCCUUCCGUGCCGCAGUUAACACAAUAAGUAUUUCACCUGGGGAGUACGGCCGCAAGGUUGAAACUCAAAGGAAUUGACGGGGGCCCGCACAAGCAGUGGAUUAUGUGGUUUAAUUCGAAGCAACGCGAAGAACCUUACCAGGGCUUGACAUCCAACUAACGAAGCAAAAGAUGCAUUAGGUUCCCUUCGGGGAAAGUUGAGACAGAUGGUGCAUGGUUGUCGUCAGCUCGUGUCAUGAGAUGUUGGGUUAAGUCCCGCAACGAGCGCAACCCUUGUCCUCAGUAGCCAGCGGCCAGGCCGGGCACUCUGGGGAGACCGCCAGGGACAACCUGGAGGAAGAUGGGGAUGACGUCAAAUCAUCAUGCCCCUUAUGAUUUGGGCUACACACGUGCUACAAUGGCGUUAAACAAAGGGAAGGGAAGACGCGAGCAGAGCAAAUCCCCAAAAGACGUCUCAGUUCGGAUUGCAGGCUGCAAUCGCCGUAUGAAGUCGGAAUUCUAGAAUU